Molecule: ribosomal RNA, 253 nt
Filed under: uncultured bacterium
Lineage: Bacteria
Description: partial 16S ribosomal RNA
Rfam family: Bacterial small subunit ribosomal RNA
Source: RNAcentral
CACGGGGGGAGCAAGCGUUGUUCGGAAUCACUGGGCUUAAAGGGCGCGUAGGCGGCUUGUCAAGUCAGGGGUGAAAUCUUUCGGCUUAACCGGAAAAGUGCCUUUGAUACUGACAGGCUCGAGUGAGGUAGGGGUAUGUGGAACUUCCGGUGGAGCGGUGAAAUGCGUUGAUAUCGGAAGGAACGCCGGUGGCGAAAGCGACGUACUGGACCGCUUCUGACGCUGAGGCGCGAAAGCUAGGGGAGCAAACGGG